GGGCGAGUAGCUCAGCUGGCGGAGCAUUCGGCUUACAUCCGAAAGGUCACAGGUUCAAGUCCUGUCUCGCCCACC
Molecule: transfer RNA, 75 nt
Filed under: candidate division TA06 bacterium ADurb.Bin417
Lineage: Bacteria
Description: tRNA-Val
Rfam family: tRNA
About the family: Transfer RNA (tRNA) molecules are approximately 80 nucleotides in length. Their secondary structure includes four short double-helical elements and three loops (D, anti-codon, and T loops).
Source: RNAcentral